RNAcentral lists this ribosomal RNA (407 nucleotides) under uncultured bacterium. RNAcentral's name for it is "partial 16S ribosomal RNA". It matches the Rfam family "Bacterial small subunit ribosomal RNA", at positions 28 to 526 of the family's 1533-position model. The record is from RNAcentral.
GACGAACGCUGGCGGCGUGCCUAAUACAUGCAAGUAGGACGCAGUUUCGAACGGGUGAGUAACGCGUAGGUAACUGCCUAUUAGAGGGGGAUAACUAUUGGAAACGAUAGCCAAUACCGCAUACUUGUAGAUUGACCUGCGUUGUCUUAGCUAGUAGGGAGGGUAAUGGCCUACCUAGGCAACGAUACAUAGCCGACCUGAGAGGGUGAUCGGCCACACUGGGACGGAGACACGGCCCAGACUCCUACGGGAGGCAGCAGUAGGGAAUUUUCGGGAAUGGGGGGAACCCUGAUCCAGCCAUGCCGCGUGUGUGAAGAAGGUCUUCGGAUUGUAAAGCACUUUAAGUUGGGAGGCGGUACCAACAGAAUAAGCACCGGCUAACUUCGUGCCAGCAGCCGCGGUAAUAC